Molecule: unclassified non-coding RNA, 743 nt
Filed under: Bradyrhizobium sp.
Lineage: Bacteria; Pseudomonadati; Pseudomonadota; Alphaproteobacteria; Hyphomicrobiales; Nitrobacteraceae
Description: partial contains 16S ribosomal RNA, 16S-23S ribosomal RNA intergenic spacer, and 23S ribosomal RNA
Rfam family: Bacterial small subunit ribosomal RNA (bases 1-90)
Source: RNAcentral
GGGAGGCAGCCGGCCACGGUAGGGUCAGCGACUGGGGUGAAGUCGUAACAAGGUAGCCGUAGGGGAACCUGCGGCUGGAUCACCUCCUUUCUAAGGAUGGUUCUUCAGAAGCUUGCUUCUAUCGAACCGUUUUAGAAACAUCAGUGGCCAACGAUCGUCAGGAUUGUUGAGCUGCAUUGGCGGGAUUUCGCCGUCUUCGUUUCUCUUUCUUCGCGGACGAACACGCGCUGGGGCUGCAAGCUUGCAGAAUCCCUGGUCCUUGACUGGAUAUGCGUUAGGGGCUUGUAGCUCAGUUGGUUAGAGCGCGCGCUUGAUAAGCGUGAGGUCGGAAGUUCAAGUCUUCCCAGGCCCACCACACUCAUCGAGUGAGCAUUCGUCUUCUGGUUACGGGGCCAUAGCUCAGCUGGGAGAGCGCGUGCUUUGCAAGCAUGAGGUCGUCGGUUCGAUCCCGUCUGGCUCCACCAGAUGGUUUGAUCAUCGACUGAUCGUGCACCUAAAUCGUCCGCGAAACAUCACUUCGCACUUACUAGUCCGGAUGGACAGUAAGCUGCGUGAUUUCUGAAUCGUAAGAGGAGACGAUCCAGUUGGAUCGGGCAACAACAAUUGUUGCGCGAUACUUCUUAUCUCCGGAUCAUUUCGGCGCUCGUGCGCCUUUAAUGUAGCUCACAAGGCUGCUCUGAGAGAAUGCGAGUUGUAAUGAUCUUUUAGCGAAGCUUGACGCCUCGCUACGGAACGAUCUUACA